This 306-nucleotide ribosomal RNA is filed under the name uncultured bacterium. RNAcentral's name for it is "partial 16S ribosomal RNA". It matches the Rfam family "Bacterial small subunit ribosomal RNA", at positions 507 to 809 of the family's 1533-position model. The record is from RNAcentral.
GACAGCAGUAGCCGCGGUAAUACAGAGGGUGCGAGCGUUAAUCGGAUUUACUGGGCGUAAAGCGUGCGUAGGCGGCUUUUUAAGUCGGAUGUGAAAUCCCUGAGCUUAACUUAGGAAUUGCAUUCGAUACUGGGAAGCUAGAGUAUGGGAGAGGAUGGUAGAAUUCCAGGUGUAGCGGUGAAAUGCGUAGAGAUCUGGAGGAAUACCGAUGGCGAAGGCAGCCAUCUGGCCUAAUACUGACGCUGAGGUACGAAAGCAUGGGGAGCAAACAGGAUUAGAUACCCCUGUAGUCCCUGUCUCUUAUAA